ACAUACAUGAUCAAACAAUGAUAGCGAGAGCACAAACAGUGCUAAACAAACAAAAGCAAGCAUCACAAGUAACCAACAUACAAGUGAAUAAAAGAGAGAUACUAAUCUAUUACAUCCAUACCAUAAUACAUUUGAUUAACUUACCUUUAAACUUUCAAAAUAUUAAAAAUUGAGUUUACAUCAUCCAAAAUACCUCACACCCUAUACAUCAUCUACUCUCAAAAUAGAA
Molecule: long non-coding RNA, 229 nt
Filed under: Ananas comosus (pineapple)
Lineage: Eukaryota; Viridiplantae; Streptophyta; Magnoliopsida; Poales; Bromeliaceae
Description: long non-coding RNA (ACOM_LNC009137)
Source: RNAcentral